GACGAACGCUGGCGGCGUGCUUAACACAUGCAAGUCGAACGGUAAGGCCCUUCGGGGUACACGAGUGGCGAACGGGUGAGUAACACGUGGGUGAUCUGCCCUGCACUUCGGGAUAAGCCUGGGGAACUGGGUCUAAUACCGGAUAGGACUCCGGACUGCAUGGUCUGGGGUGGAAAGCUUUUGCGGUGUGGGAUGGGCCCGCGGCCUAUCAGCUUGUUGGUGGGGUAAUGGCCUACCAAGGCGACGACGGGUAGCCGGCCUGAGAGGGUGACCGGCCACACUGGGACUGAGAUACGGCCCAGACUCCUACGGGAGGCAGCAGUGGGGAAUAUUGCACAAUGGGCGCAAGCCUGAUGCAGCGACGCCGCGUGAGGGAUGACGGCCUUCGGGUUGUAAACCUCUUUCAGUAGGGACGAAGCGCAAGUGACGGUACCUACAGAAGAAGGACCGGCCAACUACGUGCCAGCAGCCGCGGUAA
RNAcentral lists this ribosomal RNA (478 nucleotides) under uncultured bacterium. RNAcentral's name for it is "partial 16S ribosomal RNA". It matches the Rfam family "Bacterial small subunit ribosomal RNA", at positions 28 to 523 of the family's 1533-position model. The record is from RNAcentral.